This 440-nucleotide ribosomal RNA is filed under the name uncultured bacterium. RNAcentral's name for it is "partial 16S ribosomal RNA". It matches the Rfam family "Bacterial small subunit ribosomal RNA", at positions 338 to 795 of the family's 1533-position model. The record is from RNAcentral.
CCUACGGGUGGCAGCAGUAGGGAAUAUUGCUCAAUGGGGGAAACCCUGAAGCAGCAACGCCGCGUGGAGGAUGAAGGUUCUCGGAUUGUUAACUCCUUUUGUUCAAGAAGAUAAUGACGGUAUCUGACGAAUAAUCACCGGCUAACUCCGUGCCAGCAGCCGCGGUAAUACGCAGGGUGCAAGCGUUACUCGGAAUCACUGGGCGUAAAGAGCGCGUAGGCGGGAUAGCAAGUCAGAUGUGAAAUCCUAUGGCUUAACCAUAGAACUGCAGUUGAAACUGGUAUUCUAGAGUAUGGGAGAGGUAGGUGGAAUUCGUGGUGUAGGGGUAAAAUGCGUAGAGAUCAAGAAGAAUACUCAUUGCGAAGGCGACCUGCUAGAACCUAACUGACGCUGAUGCGCGAAAGCGUGGGGAGCGAACAGGAUUAGAUACCCGUGUAGUC